Molecule: long non-coding RNA, 7575 nt
Filed under: Homo sapiens (human)
Lineage: Eukaryota; Metazoa; Chordata; Mammalia; Primates; Hominidae
Description: HSALNT0023463
Source: RNAcentral
GUGGGAGAGAUUAAGCUGAAGGGAGGUCUUGUGGUAAGGGGUGAUAUUGUGGGGAUGUUAGAAGAAAUGUUUGUCGUAUAGAAUGAUUGGCGAUGGCCUGGAUACGGUUUUGGAUGAAUUGAGAAACUGGAAUAAGAGAAGGAGAAAAACAGGUAUAAAAGGUCUAAGAAUUGGGACGACUCAGGAUAUCUGAUUAGAGAGUGCCUAAGGAGAUUCAGCAUAGUCCUGCCAGCAAAGAUUAUUUAUUUACUUCAAGAGUUAAGAGUGGCAGUUUGGGGAUAGCACCAGGAGAUAUCAGCUGUGACGGCUUGGAAAAACAGUGUAAACCGGCAGUGUAAACAAGAGCAGGGCACGUAUGAGUAGUUGAGAACGGUGACUAGGAGUAUGACUAGACAGAAGAUAGUAGGGAUGACAAUUUUUUUGGAGCACCGUCCAAGUUGGUCUGGUGUCUGGAAUGAGACUGGGACCUAAUAAAAAGGAGCGUCUAUACAGGAGCUCAAAUGGGCUGUACCCCGUAGCAUUCCGAGGACAGGCCUGAAUUCUGAGAAGGGAAAGUGGUAAAAGUAUUGUCCAGUCCUUUUUAAGUUGGUGGCUGAGCUUGGUGAGGUGUGUUUUUAAAAGACCUUUAGUCUAUUCUACUUUUCUUGAAGACGGAGGACCGUAAGGGAUAUAAAGGUUUCACUGAAUACUAAGAGCCUGAAAUACUGCUUGGCUGAUUUGACUAAUAAAGGCUCGUCUGUUAUCAGACUGUAUUGAGGUGGGAAGGCUAAACUGAGGAAUUAUGUCUGACAGAAGGGAAGAAAUGACUGGAGUGGCCUUCUCAGACCCUGUAGGAAAGGCCUCUACCUAUCCAGUGAAAGUAUCUACCCAGACUAAGAGGUAUUUUAGUUAUCUUACUUGGGGCAUGUUGAGUAAAGCUAAUUUGCCAGUCCUGGGUGGGGCAAAUCCUCGAGCUUGAUGUGUAGGGAAGGGAGGGGGCCUGAAGAAUCCCUGAGGAGUAGUAGAAUAGCAGAUGGAACACUGAGAAGUUAUUUCCUUGAGGAUAGAUUUCCACGAUGGAAAGGAAAUGAGAGGUUCUAAGAGGCGGGCUAGUGGCUUGUACUAUAGCAUAACCUGCCUUUGCUGGUGUGUGGCGAUUAGGCCUGGUGGAACCGCCAUCAAUAAAUCAAGCGUGAUCACGGUGAGGAACAGGAAAGAAGGAAAUCUGGGGAAAUGGGGUGAAUGUCAGGUGGAUCAGAGAGAUACAGUCAUGGGGGUCAGGUGUGGUAUCAGGAAUAAUGUGGGAGGCCGGAUUGAAGUCUGGGCCAGGAACAUCGGUAAUUGUGGGAGACUCAACAAAGAGUGAGUACAGCUGAAGGAGCCGGGAAGCAGAAAGUAUAUGCGUCAGGUAUGAGGAAGAAAAUAGAUUUUGGAAGUUAUGAGAACUGUACAGAGUGAGUUGAGCAUAGUUUGUGAUUUUGAGGGCCUCUAAAAGUAUUAAUGCAGCGGCAGCCACUGCACGCAGACAUGAGGGCUAGGCUAAAACAGUAAGGUCAAGUUGUUUGGACAGAAAGGCUACAGGGUGUGGUCCUGGCUCUUGUGUAAGAAUUCUGACCACGCUAACCAUGCCUAGGAAGGAAAGGAGUUGUUUUGUAGAAGGUGCUGGGGUUUGAGAGAUCAGUUGGACACGAUUGGCAGGGAGAGCACGUGUGUUUUUAUGAGAAUUAUGCCGAGAUAGGUAACAGAUGAGGAAGAAAUUUGGACUUGAUUGAAGUAAUGGGGGCUGUCUGUGAAGCUUUGCAGCAGUAUAGCCUAGGUAAUUUGCUGAGCUUGAUGGGUGUCAGGGUCAGUCCAAGUGAAAGUGAGGAGAGGCUGGGAUUAAGGGUGCAAAGGAAUAGUAAAGAAAGCAUGUUUGAGAUCUAGAACAGAAUAAUGGAUUAUAGAGGCAGGUAUUGAGGAUAGGAGAGUAUAUGGGUUUGGCACCACAGGGUGCCAAAGGUGGGAUAGGCAAAACAAUUUGGUUGAUAAGGUGCAGAUCCUGAACUAGCUUGUAAGGCUUGUCUGGUUUUAGGACAAGUAAAAUGGGGGAAUUAUAAGGAGAGUUUAUAGGCUUUAAAAGGCCAUGCUGUAGCAGGCGAGUGAUAACAGGCUUUAAUCUUUUUAAAGCGUGCUGCGGGAUGGGAUAUUGGCGUUGAGUGGGGUAAGGGUGAUUAGGUUUUAAUGAGAUGGUAAGGGGUGCAUGAUCGGUCGCCAAGGAGGGAGUAGAAGUAUCUUAUACUUGUGGGUUAAGGUGGGGGGAUACAAGAGGAGGAUGCAAAGGAGGCUUUGGAUUGGGAAGAAGGGCAGCAAUGAGAUAUAGCUGUAGUCCAGGAAGAGUCAGGGAAGCAGAUAAUUUAGUUAAAGUGUCUCAGCCUAAUAAGGGAACUGGGCAGGUGAGGAUAACUAAAAAGGAGUGCUUAAAAGAGUAUUGUCUAAGUUGGCACCAGAGUUGAGGAGUUUUAAGAGGUUUAGAAGCCUGGCCGUCAAUACCCACAACAGUUAUGGAGGCAAGGGAAACAGGCCCUUGAAAAGAAGGUAAUGUGGAGUGGGUAGCCUCCGUAUUGAUUAAGAAGGGGACGGGCUUACCUUCCACUGUGAGAGUUACUGGAAGCUAGGCAUCCUUGAUGGUCUAGGGGGCUUCCGAGGCGAUUGGGCAGUGUCAGUCUUCAGCAACUAAGCCGAGAAGAUCUGGGAAGGAGUCAGUCAGAGAGCCUUGGGCCAGAAUUCCAGGGGCUCUGGGAGUGGCUGCCAGGUGAGUUGGACAGUCCGAUUUUCAGUGGGGUCCCACACAGAUGGGACGCGGCUUAGGAGGAAUCCUGGGCUGCAGGCAUUCCUUGGCCUGGGGGUCAGAUUUCUGGCACUUGUAGCAAGCUCCUGUGGGAGGAGGUUCUGGAGGAAUGCCUGGCAGCUGCGGUUCAGGCGUUUGGAAGUUCUUGUGUGCUGGAGAUGUGGCUGGGAUUUGUCUCACAGAGGAGCCUCUCUCUCAUCGGAUGGUGAAGAUACUUCCCUAAAGCUCCCAUCCGACCACAUCAUUCCUCUGCUCAGAUCCUUUGAUGGAUGCUUGUAAGAGGAAAGAUGGUUCCUGUUUAUUCACCAGAUAGGGUUCCAGGGGUGAUGCCAAGUGCCUGAUGGAAAGACGAAUGUCAAGGAGCCUGCAGGCCACUCAGCAGCAAGGCAGGAAUGCAUCGUGGAGGCAGGACCAUGACCUCUGUUGGGGAGCAGAUGCUGGAGAACAGCUCCGACUCCUCCCAGCACUGAUGCUGCCUUCCCACGAGCACCUGUGGAUUCCUCCCAGCCUGGCUCCUGCUUUGACUGCAGGAUUUGCUCCGUCUCCUCUCCAAUGAUGCCUCCAUCUUUGCUCAGGGAAUUUGAAGAAUCUCCAGGAGGGCCAGAGAGUAGACUUGGAUGCCACCCAGCCAGCAAUAGAGAAGUUGGGACCACCCAGCCAGGGACAAGGCCACACCUCAGCCAUCACCACCCACAAGCAACGCAGCAUGUAUGAGCUGGGACAGGACACCAGAAACUACCUCAUGAUUGCUCCGGAAGAAGCAGCUGCAGGUGCUCAGCCAUCUUUAUUUCCUGCCACCCCCAAACUAUGAAGACAGCAAAGCAGCCUGUGGAGAGGCUGCUCACAGAGGCAACCCCACCCUUACUUGGUGAUGGCACGUGGAACUCCACCUCCCAGGUGGAAAAUGGAAAAAUUGUUUCCUUCUCUGAUCUACUGCCUGAGCUGUCAUCAGGAUUUUGAGGACUGACUUAAUGAAUAAAAUAUAAAGGCUUAGCGUGAGCCUGGGAUAUGCAUGGUGGAAGAGAAUAAAUAGCCUUUUGUAUAUCAAAGAUACUUUCUGGGUAACCCAAUCUGAGAAAUAGCUACUUCAGCCACAUCUGCUGUUAGGGAAGGCUGAGAAAAUAGUGACUAUAAAAUGAAAUGAGGCUUGUAGGUGAACCACAUGAAAUCCUGUGAACCGGGGAGAAGUCACCAGCUAUUACAAUGGAGUCUAGCUAAGAAGGGGCACGUGGGGGUGGGGAGAUCGUGACCAAUCAACAGUGCAGCUUGAAAAUGUGGGUUUUCUCUUGGGAAGCUUCAUUCCCUGGGAAGGAAGAAGCUAUAACGAAACAGGAGCAAUGAAGCUUUGCCUGGAGAGGAUGCUGCUCACAUUUGCAUGUUAAAUGAACUGAGGCCUCUCCUGGCUCCCCUUGGAGGGCUCUCAGAGGCAGCUCUAGCCUCAGAGGGUCUCUUGCCCACAUCUUACUCUGGUUCAGAGCCCACAUCCCCAAAGAGAGCCUUGUACACAGCAGGUAUUCAAUCAAUAUUUGUAUUAAAUUGCAUUUUAAAAGCUGAUUACUUGAGUGACCCCUUCCCCUACCCACCCCCAAAGACUGUCCUCCAGUAUCUCUUUGUGCAUAUCCUGAAUUCAAGCUGCAGUGAGAGGCUUUAGCAAGAGAGAGAAAACCCACUCUAAAAGCUUCAUUUGCGACAAUUUCCAUUUUAUUUCUCACCACCACCAGCCUUUGGACGAACAGGUCCUAAAGAGCUAUGGAAACAGCAUCGUGGAAACAGCACGAUACAGUUAUUGAAUGACUGGUCUGGGCCAAGCAUUAUUCUCGGCGCUGGGGAUGCAGCAGGGGGCCUGGAUCAUACUCAAGGUCACUAGAUACUUGUUACAUGAGUGAAUGAAGUCAUUCAGUACUCAUUGGCUCCACUGGGCUCUGACUUGCUGGGCAUGACAAGCCCACCAGGGAGCCCUGGAUAUCCCUCCUCUUUCCAAGCAGCUGGGGAAGCUGGUUGCCCUGGAAACCUGUUUUAGGUGGCAGCAUCUUCCUCCAGGAGGUCGAGGUGUCUCCUGGACCUUAGAGACUCCAGGACACAGGACAGAGCUCUGAACUGUGGAGCCGGGAAACCUGGUUCCAGUCUCAGCCCAGAUUUACCAGCCGUAGACUUGGCCAAGUCACUCACAAAACCCAAAGGGUGAGGCAGAGCUGGCCCUGCCUGCAUGGCAGGGAGAUUUUGAGAAGCAUGAAGAGAGUCAGGAAGUGCCUGGGGAUCGAAUCCACCCAGCAGUGCAAGGCAUUGCUCUCCCAAUUCUCCAUUGGGAAAAAAAAAUCCAGACAAAGACAGUACAGAGAAUAUGGUAGCCAAUACUGCAGCAGUCACCACCCGGAAAAACAGACACUAAUAUAAUAACUUGUGAUUUUUGCUUCAUAUCUCUGUGGCAUAAAACCAUGACACAUAAAGUUUAUGUCCCCCUUUAACCAUUCCUCAAUGCUAUUCCCCUCCUCUCUCCCCCUCCUCAACGGCAACCACUGAUAUGUUCGCUCUAUUCUGUGCUUUUCAUAUUUUAAAUAUAUUGUUUAUGGGAAUGAUCAUAUAUAAGAAAUAUAUUAUACUGUUUGUUUUAAAAGUUUGCAUAAAUAAUAUCAAAGUAAAUUAUUUAAGUGUCCCCAGCAGUCCCUGUCCCCGUCCACCUUUCCCUCAGUUCUCUUCCAUCACAGUAAAGAAAACUGCCCAAACCUGGUCACCGCCCCUGGACUUUCGAAGUGGCUUCCUACUUGGGGUCCUGCUUCCAACAUUGGCCCUGUGAGUGACAAGGAUCUCAUUCCUUUUGUGCUCAAAGCUCUGGCCUCUCUCUCCCUCCUUGGCCUUGCCCAGCCCAGCCCCACCCCUGUCCUCAGAACCUCACACCUGUCGUUCCCCACCUGGGGUGCCCUUCCCGCUGGCUGGCCCCUCACCUCUCUCAGAUUUCUGCUCUAAUGACAGUAACUGGAGAGGCCUUGCCUGAAGUCCCCUCCUCUUUCUCCUUACCUUGCUUUUUGGUUAUGCAUCCUCCUCCUAAUUGCUUUAUUUAUUUAUGUGUUUAAUCACCAUCCUCUUACUUUUCUAAGGCUCGUCCUGAUUUUUUUCACAUCCUGGUAUCUGAGCCGGCAGUGAUUCUAUACCUGGCAGCAGCCUGUGCGGCAGAGCUGUGUGUAAAGGGGUCCAUGCAGAGCCCUGGGAGAAAGAAAAAUGAAGGGGAAAAGGUUGACCUGAGCUUUUUCACCUGGGGCUGGAAAGUGGACCAGAGCCUAUCAUUCCAACCUGCAGGUGCCUAAGGCCCAACAGAAAGUUCACCAGGAAAGACCAAGAGAAUUGGGGUGACCCUCCCACAGUAUCAGAGGGAAGGGGAGUGGGGAGGAGUACAGCAGUGCAGACCAGCCCCACAGGUGCUUAGCCAGGCCUUUGGUUCUGCCAGGGAAAGGAGGGUGCCUUCCACAGCAUGAAAACUACACCACGUCCCAAUGUGUCCGGGACCUGCCGCCAGCCGCCUGCACAGUAGUCAGGUGGAUGCCACCGGGAUACAGCCCACACUGACUCCUGACCCCAGGGGGUACAGCCCACGCUGACUCCUGACCCCAGGGGGUACAGCCCACGCUGACUCCUGACCCCAGGGGGUACAGCCCACAUUGACUCCUGACCCCGGGGGUUACAGCCCACACUGACUCCGGACCCCGGCGUGGGAGGGGCUGGCCCGAGAUGAAAUCUCGAAGGUGGGUCAGGCUAGGUCCUGGAGUCAGGGGAAGCGUGGGGUUCAGGCCAGGCCUGGGUUCUCCCUGAAGUGAGGCUGACUCUGAGCCUUUCUUGAAACCCCAAAUGUCACAGCAGUGCCCCGAAGGUAGGUGAGGCUCUGUUGCAGGGAAUGCUGAGGAAAAAGGGAACAUCAGGGAUUGGUCUGGCCUGAAGCCUGCACUCCCCUAAAUUAUACCCUGGUAUGAUUUGGGCUUGCCCUGGAGUUACCUCAACUAACCUGGGGUCCUUGGGGGAAACAGAGAUGGACAGGGUUGAUGUAUAUUUCGGGUUGAUUUGGACUCUAAGGAUUAUCCCAGCUCAGACCUCGCUCUCAAGGAAUAGGAGCCUGGCAUCUGUCUAUCACCCCCUUGGCCCUGGGUAUAGUCUGGAUGAGCAGAGGCACGCGUGUGGCCCCAAGAGUCCCACCCUCUGGCUCUCUCCUCCCAAGACAUUCUGGAGCCAUGACAUGUCUCCCAGGAAGGGAGAAUUAUUUUUGUCUGUGGCAUAAAUAAAGCCAGGAAUGAGUUCCAAUAAUCACAAGCACAUGCCAGCAUGUGGAGGCUACUCUGACAGCAGCAGAAGGUUCCAGCACUGCCUGCCCUGCUGGUCCUGGCUGCAGGGAGGUGACCGGGAUGGUCAGGGGUCGGGAGCAGGAGGGAGCCUCCAGGAUUUUAUUUAAAAUGAUCAGGUUUUUCAAACAAAUGGAAAAAUAAAAAAAUCUUGAAAACAAAUCUUUUAAAAAUUUACCCACUUCACUCCAGAUCUUAAGAAAUAAAAAUAAAACAUGACUAUUCCUCUAGAAUCCUGACCCAUACCAUACAACUCUCUUCCCAGAGGUCAUUGCCAACAUCGAUUUCUAUUUAUUUUUCUCAUGCUUGCUUUAAUAUUUCUACUAUAUAUGUAUGCAUCUAUAAAUAAACUCUAUGUGACAUUGUUUUGUGUUUUAAAAUCCUUUGACUUUUUACUGUACAUAUGAUUCUGCAACUUGCUUUUUAUUUUAGAAAAUUAGGGCA